CGGCGCGAAAGGCUGUACCAUUCCCACACCGAGGCUUUGCGUCCCUCGCAGUUCACACGAACGGAUUUCCGAGCCAGCAUGUUCUCGUUUCACCGGCAAGACUGAUCUUAGCCGAGCCGAGCCGAGCCAACCCUAAGGAAGUGUUUUCUAUGUCGCUGCGCCGCCGCCGCGCCCCAGCGCGCGAAUGGUCUGGACCAACGUCACCUCCGGUCUCAAGUGUCAUGGCUGCCUUGAGAGUCUAGUGAGUGUGCACCCUGGUGGGGAAGGUCCAAAGCCCGCACGCUGAGGCCCAGUAGAAGAAAGUUGCAUCUUGAUUGUGGAGCGACAGCUUCUCCGGUGCCUCGGCCAUGGCAGCUUCCGGGAGUGGUAUGGCCCAGAAAACCUGGGAAUUGGCCAACAACAUGCAGGAAGCGCAGAGUAUCGAUGAAAUCUACAAAUAUGACAAAAAACAACAACAAGAAAUCCUGGCGGCGAAACCCUGGACUAAGGAGUGAGGAGUCACCACUACUUUAAAUACUGCAAAAUCUCAGCAUUGGCUCUACUGAAAAUGGUGAUGCAUGCCAGGUCAGGAGGCAACUUGGAAGUGAUGGGUUUGAUGCUCGGGAAAGUCGACGGCGAGACCAUGAUCAUCAUGGACAGUUUCGCUUUGCCUGUAGAGGGCACAGAAACUCGAGUAAAUGCUCAAGCUGCUGCGUAUGAGUAUAUGGCUGCAUACAUAGAAAAUGCCAAACAGGUUGGCCGCCUUGAGAAUGCAAUCGGUUGGUAUCAUAGCCACCCUGGUUAUGGCUGCUGGCUCUCCGGGAUUGAUGUUAGUACACAGAUGCUGAACCAGCAGUUUCAAGAACCAUUUGUAGCAGUGGUGAUUGAUCCAACCAGAACAAUCUCUGCAGGAAAAGUGAAUCUUGGCGCCUUUAGGACAUAUCCAAAGGGCUACAAACCUCCUGAUGAAGGACCUUCUGAGUACCAGACUAUCCCACUUAAUAAAAUAGAAGAUUUUGGCGUGCACUGCAAACAAUAUUAUGCCUUAGAAGUCUCAUAUUUCAAAUCAUCUUUGGAUCGUAAACUACUUGAGCUUUUGUGGAAUAAAUACUGGGUGAAUACCCUGAGUUCCUCUAGCUUGCUUACUAAUGCAGACUACACCACAGGCCAGGUGUUUGAUUUGUCUGAGAAGUUAGAGCAGUCGGAAGCCCAACUGGGACGUGGCAGUUUCAUGUUGGGCUUAGAAACACAUGACCGCAAGUCGGAAGACAAACUUGCCAAAGCUACUAGAGACAGCUGUAAAACCACCAUAGAAGCCAUCCAUGGACUGAUGUCUCAGGUUAUUAAGGAUAAACUGUUUAAUCAGAUUAACGUUGCUUAGUUACCACCAAGUACUUCUCAAAGCUGGUGUGUGGAAGGAAAAGAAGCUCAAGUAACACUUUUAACCCAGUUACCAAAACUCAGAUUAGAAGACUAAGGUGCUGUGUGGUGUCCUGAGUAUUAGCACUGUAAUAAAACUAUCACGUGAAAUUGUCCUUCUGUGGUUUUGUAGUUGGGGUUGCUUUUGGUGCUCUUGUUUAUGGGAGGAAAAAGACUCACUAGAUCUAUUGUGUUCAAAUCCUGCCUAUCAAAGUAAUCAAAGGAUCUUAGCAUUUAAUCACACCAUGGUCACAAACUUGUCAGUUUUUCUUGUGCCUUCUCUUGACAGUCUAUUAGUAAAAAUGUAAUUCAACUUCAAAUAAAAUAGCAUCUGACUUCAG
This is an RNA transcript of Mus musculus (house mouse), 1739 nucleotides long. It is a transcript of the gene named COP9 signalosome subunit 5, with no coding region annotated. The record is from RefSeq and is marked validated. The transcript is spliced from 8 exons. NCBI's taxonomy places the organism in Eukaryota, Metazoa, Chordata, Mammalia, Rodentia, Muridae.